Molecule: ribosomal RNA, 777 nt
Filed under: Escherichia coli
Lineage: Bacteria; Pseudomonadati; Pseudomonadota; Gammaproteobacteria; Enterobacterales; Enterobacteriaceae
Description: partial 23S ribosomal RNA
Rfam family: Bacterial large subunit ribosomal RNA
Source: RNAcentral
GUAGGGCGGGACACGUGGUAUCCUGUCUGAAUAUGGGGGGACCAUCCUCCAAGGCUAAAUACUCCUGACUGACCGAUAGUGAACCAGUACCGUGAGGGAAAGGCGAAAAGAACCCCGGCGAGGGGAGUGAAAAAGAACCUGAAACCGUGUACGUACAAGCAGUGGGAGCCUCUUUAUGGGGUGACUGCGUACCUUUUGUAUAAUGGGUCAGCGACUUAUAUUCUGUAGCAAGGUUAACCGAAUAGGGGAGCCGAAGGGAAACCGAGUCUUAACUGGGCGUUAAGUUGCAGGGUAUAGACCCGAAACCCGGUGAUCUAGCCAUGGGCAGGUUGAAGGUUGGGUAACACUAACUGGAGGACCGAACCGACUAAUGUUGAAAAAUUAGCGGAUGACUUGUGGCUGGGGGUGAAAGGCCAAUCAAACCGGGAGAUAGCUGGUUCUCCCCGAAAGCUAUUUAGGUAGCGCCUCGUGAAUUCAUCUCCGGGGGUAGAGCACUGUUUCGGCAAGGGGGUCAUCCCGACUUACCAACCCGAUGCAAACUGCGAAUACCGGAGAAUGUUAUCACGGGAGACACACGGCGGGUGCUAACGUCCGUCGUGAAGAGGGAAACAACCCAGACCGCCAGCUAAGGUCCCAAAGUCAUGGUUAAGUGGGAAACGAUGUGGGAAGGCCCAGACAGCCAGGAUGUUGGCUUAGAAGCAGCCAUCAUUUAAAGAAAGCGUAAUAGCUCACUGGUCGAGUCGGCCUGCGCGGAAGAUGUAACGGGGCUAAACCAUG